Molecule: unclassified non-coding RNA, 251 nt
Filed under: uncultured Leptosphaeria
Lineage: Eukaryota; Fungi; Ascomycota; Dothideomycetes; Pleosporales; Leptosphaeriaceae
Description: sequence contains ITS2
Source: RNAcentral
AACGCACAUUGCGCCCCUUGGUAUUCCAUGGGGCAUGCCUGUUCGAGCGUCAUUUGUACCCUCAAGCUUUGCUUGGUGUUGGGUGUUUGUCCCGCGCUUUUUGCGCAAGACUCGCCUUAAAUCAAUUGGCAGCCGGCAUGUUAGCCUGGAGCGCAGCACAUUUUGCGCCCCUUGCUUGCUUUGUUGGCCCCCAUCAAGUCCAUAUAUUUGCUCUUGACCUCGGAUCAGGUAGGGAUACCCGCUGAACUUAA